GGCGAACGCUGGCGGCGUACUUAACACAUGCAAGUCGAACGGGGAUCGACACGUGAGCAAUCACGUGGCGGUCUUAGUGGCGUACGGGUGAGUAACACGUGGGCAACCUGCCCUUGAGUCUGGGAUAACCUCCCGAAAGGGAGGCUAAUACCGGAUACGGUCCUCGGGUCGCGAGAUCUGAGGAAGAAAGGUGGCGCAAGCUACCGCUCUUGGAGGGACUCGCGGCCUAUCAGCUAGNGGUGAGGUAACGGCUCACCAAGGCUAUGACGGGUAGCUGGUCUGAGAGGACGACCAGCCACACGGGGGACUGAGACACGGGCCCC
Molecule: ribosomal RNA, 323 nt
Filed under: uncultured bacterium
Lineage: Bacteria
Description: bacterial SSU rRNA
Rfam family: Bacterial small subunit ribosomal RNA
Source: RNAcentral